Molecule: long non-coding RNA, 2438 nt
Organism: Eleginops maclovinus (Patagonian blennie)
Lineage: Eukaryota; Metazoa; Chordata; Actinopteri; Perciformes; Eleginopidae
Exons: 4
Source: RefSeq, a predicted model, not a curated record
CUCUGAUAGUCUCUAAACGUCUCUAACAGACUCUGAUAGUCUCUGAUGGUCUCUGAUGGUCUCUAAUCGAGUCUGAUGGUCACUGAUGGUCUCUGAUGGUCUCUAAUCGAGUCUGAUGGUCUGUAAUCGUCUCUAAUGGUCACUGAUGGUCUCUGAUGGUCUCUUAUCGAGUCUGAUGGUCUCUAAUCGACUCUGAUGGUCUUUAAUCGUCUCUUAAUAGACUCUGAUAGUCUCUGAUAGUCCCUGAUAGUCUCUAAACGUCUCUAACAGACUCUGAUAGUCUCUGAUGGUCUCUAAUAGUCUGUAAUCGUCUCUGGUGUCUCUUAUAGUCUCUAAUCAUUUCUGAUGGUCUCUAAUAGUCUCUGAUGGUCUCUAAUCGUCUCCAAUAGUCUCUGAUGGUCUCUAAUAGUCUCUGAUGGUAUCUGAUGAUCUCUAAUAGUCUCUGAUGGUCUGUAAUCGACUCUGAUAGUCUCUGAUGGUCUCUAAUAGUCUCUGAUGGUCUCUGAUGAUCUUUAAUAGUCUCUGAUGGUCUGUAAUCGACUCUGAUAGUCUCAGAUGGUCUUUAAUAGUCUCUGAUGGCAUCUAAUAGUCUCUAAUCGUCUCUGAUGGUCUUUAAUAGUCUCUGAUGGUCUCUAAUAGACUCUGAUAGUCUCUGAUGGUCUGUAAUAGUCUCUGAUGGUCUCUAAUAGUCUUUGAUGGUCUCUAAUAGUCUCUAAUCGUCUCUGAUGGUCUUUAAUCGUCUCUAAUAGACACUGAUAGUCUCUGAUGGUCUCUUAAUAGUCUCUGAUGGUCUCUAAUAGUCUCUAAUUGUUUCUGAUAGUCUCUGAUGGUGUCUAAUAGUCUCUGAUGGUCUCUGAUGGUCUCUGAUGGACUCUGAUGGUCUUUAAUCGACUCUGAUAGUCUCAGAUGGUCUUUAAUAGUCUCUGAUGGUCUCUUAUAGACUCUGAUGGUCUCUGAUGGUCUCUAAUAGUCUUUGAUGGUCUCUAAUAGUCUCUGAUGGUCUUUAAUCGUCUCUAAUCGUCUCUGAUGGUCUUUAAUCGUCUCUAAUAGACACUGAUAGUCUCUUAAUAGUCUCUGAUGGUCUCUGAUGGUGUCUAAUAGUCUCUGGUGGUCUCUAAUUGUCUCUGAUGGUCUCUGAUGGACUCUGAUGGACUCUGAUGGACUCUGAUGGACUCUGAUGGACUCUGAUGGACUCUAGUCUUUGAUGGUCUCUGAUGGUCUUUAAUAGUCUCUGGUGGACUCUGGUGGACUCUGGUGGACUCUGGUGGACUCUGGUGGACUCUGGUGGACUCUGGUGGACUCUGAUGGUCUCUGAUGGUCUCUGAUGGUCUCUGAUGGUCUCUAGUCUUUGAUAGUCUUUAAUAGUCUCUGAUGGUCUCUAAUAGUUUCUAAUCGACUCUGAUAGUCUUUGAUGGUCUCUAAUCAACUCUAUAAUUUACUCAAUCUUUCCCCUCCUGUGUAUUGGGCGGGGUCAGGAGGAUUCAGUCAGUGUAUUUAUAUACAGGUAUAUAUAUUUAUUUCAAAGAAGCGUGUUUAUAAGGUGGUACCUUCUGAGGGGUGGGCUUCCGGCCGGAGGAUUUUGGGGGAGAGGGGGGCAGCAUACAGGGGGGAGACCCCAGAGAGACUCCUCUUACCCCCCCGAACCAGAGAGGGGGCGUCCAGAGUCUCCUGCUUCACUGAAACACAGAAAAACUACUAACUCAAUAUAAACACAGGACACUCCGUACUCAGGUGAGACUCGCUGUGUCCCUGACUUCCUGUGGGAGAAAAACCGCUACGUGGGUCUGGAGGUAGUUUAUACAUUAAUGUUGAGAAGGAAAUCCCAUAAUAACAGUGUGUGUGCAGUGAUCACCUGACUUCCUGUGGUAGAAGCUGAAUGGCUGGCUGCUGAACAGACUGUCACAUUGUAGCUGUCGACACAUGUUCUCCAGGAAGCGGAGCACGAAGGACGCACUGGAGGCUGAGGGCAGCCGGACCACCCGGACCCCACCCUCCGUCCUCACUGUAAAGAGAGGAGCGCCCCCACCCCCGGCCUGGCUCUGCAGGUUGUUCAGCAGGACUAAGGGCUGGGGGCUGCAGCCGAUGCAUGCCUGCACCACCUGCUGCAGAACGGCAUUUACAGGACCCGGGCCAAAGUGAUCCGGCAGACGCUGCAUCUGCUUCCUGUCCAGGGGCCUGCAGGCUGUGCUUGGUGAGCAGCACCAGCCCACGGGGAACAUGUCUCUGGAGUCGUAGGGGCACCAGUAGUCGAAAGCCCCCCUCCAGCCGUCGAACAUGACGAACACCUCGUCGCCCUUCACCUCCCCCACGGGUCGCCGGACAGAUCAGAUGUUCAUUAGAGGAACCUUUUUAAAGGCAGAGGCUGGAGCCAUCUCCGCUCCAUUCAGGGUCCUGAGCAGGAACAUGGGCCAGGAGGAGGCGUUCAUCCGGAACCCUGG